Molecule: long non-coding RNA, 5184 nt
Filed under: Populus trichocarpa (black cottonwood)
Lineage: Eukaryota; Viridiplantae; Streptophyta; Magnoliopsida; Malpighiales; Salicaceae
Description: long non-coding RNA (PTRI_LNC003692)
Source: RNAcentral
GACUGCGCAAGUACGAAAAACCAAAAUUAAAAAAGGUCGAUAACAUGAAGGUUAAAACCUCUACUCUGUUCAAAAUCAAAGGUUGACAAUUAGAAGGCUGGGAUCAUAAAAGCAAUAACUGACUCUUUCAAGCUAGCAGGCACUACAGGAGCCAAAACAGAUAUGAACUGGGAGUUGAGCAGCUAUCACCUUGGCAAACAAACUAAAUCCUAUCAUCGUUAUUCAUCAUGAAGCCAUGUUCAUAAACUGUAGAUAGAUCAACAAGGCAAACUCAUUUUUUGUUCCAUCAACUCCACCAAAUCGAUGAGAUUAUAAUAAAACAGAAAGUUAUAAUAAUAGAACAACAUAGUCCCAUAGCUUCAUUCUUACAUAUGAGUCGAGUUUUUAUUUCUUUGUCGAGGAAAAGGAGUAUUGAAUACAAUAAAUCAAUGAAUACUCAACUGCAAAAAUUUCUCAAACCUCAAAAUUUGCACUGCACUCACUGCAGGCACAAUAAAUUAAGUUUUGAGGCUGUUUCGCUUCAGGGAGCAAACUGUUUAGGAAUGGGAGGCAACCCCAACAGCCUAUAAGAGAAGAUUUAACAUACAAGUUUCACAUGUCAUUAAAGCUCGACACAAUCAUUGACUCAUAGCAUAUAACCAGAAACUCAUUAAAACAGGCAAUUUCCCAUAAAGAGAUCACUUAACAGUUAGAUAACUAAAAUUCUCAUGCAGACAUUAUUUACAACGCUACAAUUUUAACCGCUACUGAUGAAAUCACUUCAUUACUUACAAAAUUAAUUUAAUUCGAAACGAAAACCUAGCAGGUUGCACUAAUUGAAACAAACUUCCAAAGUUGUUCCAACCAAAACACCACAUAUUUCACUAUAAACGAAACAAUGACAUCUAAAUGAUUCAAAGCAAGAAAUCAAAGCACUCAUAUCAACGAGCAAACCAAAAAAAGCAGAGGAAUCAAAUUUUCUCCAACUUCAAUAGCCACAGCGCACAACAAUUGCACUGCCAACAAAAUUAUAAACGAAGAUAAGAGCCACUUUUGCUUCAACUGAACGAACCAUUGAGGAACCCAUCCAACCUCAAUGGUCAGAGAAAGAAGCUUAUCUGGAAAAAAGUUAUUCAAGAAUUGAAAUACAAACCAACGACAGAAUAACACAUCACCGGAGCAACAAAAUCGAAGGCGGACAGGAAAUUAAUAGAAUCAACAAUACCUGUUAGCAAGACUAUUUACGACAAGCUCAUUCACAACAUAGGAUAAGACUCUGUGCAUGAAAUUCCCACCCGCCAUGGCUUGUUUGCUUCUAUUGAACUUCUUAAAAGCAAAAAAAAAAAAAAAGCGAUCAAACAGACACAAAUCAGAAUAUGUUUGAUAUUAAGAAAAGAAAUUGAUUAAUCAACAAAUCUUAUUAGAAUUUAUUUUUAUUUCUAUUGCAAAAUUAAAAAAAAGACAAAAAAACGGAGCCCUUUGAAAUUAAUAGAAAGUAAAUCGUGAAUAAACCCUAAGCUUAUCAAAUUCAGGUAUCCGUAAAUUCUAAAAAAAAAAUUAAGCACGUAAAAAUAAUAAUUGAAAUGAUUAUUAAACAAGAUAGUUAAGGAAUUGAUUGCGUUAAAGAAAAUAGUUGAAAGAUUUAUUUUACCUGUGAGAGAAUGGCGAUUGGAAAGCUAGGCUUCUGGAAUGUGCCUAAAUUUUAGCGUAGAGACAGCUUCAUCGGAUUUUAUAGGGAGGCGAUUCUUUAGGGUUGGGCUGUUUUAAGACUAAACAGAGGCCCAUGGUCUUGGAACAAGGCCCAUAGUCUUGGAAUAAGGCCCAUAGUACCGGGUCCAUUACAAAAAUGAUUGCUUUGGUUUACACAAAAGAGUUCCUUUUCACCAUGGUUGUUAACACCUGUAAAAAAUAUAUGAUUCGGAGCUUAUCGAUUUUAAGUUAAGUGGAAAAAGAUAUUAAUUUGAUCGAAUUGGUUAAUUUGACUAAACUCAUUCUAAAUUGAGCCACAUCAAUUUCAUUUUUUUUAUAAAAAAAUUAUAUCAUUUUAAUAAAAAUAAAUAAUUUAGAUAAACCAGAAAAUUUAAUAAUAUAGAUUUUUUUCUAGAUAAGUCUUAUUAUCUUAUAUGAAUAUAUAUGAUUUUCAUAUCGGUUUAAUAUUGGUAAGAAAUUAUUAAAUUAUUUUAGAUAUUAGCUAAUUUAUAAAUUUUAUUUGUUAAGAUCUAAGAUAUUCAUAUUUCAUAUAAGAUAAUUAUACUAUAAAUAUUGAUUUUUUUUAAUCAGUGUUUUAGGAACGUGAUGCCAUUUAUUAAUCUUAGUAGGCAAUAUCUAAGAUAGCUGCUUUUCACACGAGAGAGUUAAAAAGUGUGAGUGUAUUAUAUGGAGGAGCUCUACACCGCACAAAAAUACUAUGAUCGUCACAUUAAACAAAAUAAAUUACAUAAUCAAUGUAGAAUUCGCGUGGAAUGGCAAAGGCGUAAAAACCAAGAUGCUGGUGGAAAAUUAAUUACAAUCAAUUUUUAAAUUUUUUUAGAAUAUUUUUAGUUUUAAAUUAAUUUUUAUUUGGUAUUUUUAAAUCAUUUUAAUGUGUUGAUAUUAAAAAUAAAUUAAAAAAAUUAAAAAAAAUAAUAUUAUUUUAAUAUAUUUCUAAAAAAUAAAACAACUUUUAUAUACUAUGGAACAUGCCCUAAGCAGUAUAAUUUAAUUAUGUAAGUAGUAUAUUGCUUUUCUCUACAGUAGUGUACACUGGAACAGCACAGAAGGAAUUGAUGAAGAGCAUUUCAAUUAAGACAAAAAAGAAGAAGCCAGAAUUGAAGAAAGAGAUAUUGAUGAAGUGGUUCCUGUAAAUAAAUAAAUAAGUAAGGGUAGACGAGGCUGACCGAGACUCAGACCAGAUCUUAAGGAAAUUAAGAAAAUUCACAGCUAUUAAUUAGAGAACCACGCGAAUACACACCAGGGAUGGAGAUUGCAUCUUCGGUGUUCGCCAGGAGUUCUUGAUGCAUGGAAUCAAAUUUUCCUUUCACAUAUAACUGUAGCUGAAAAAAGAGAAGACAGAACUCAUGUUUCUGUGAUCCAUUGUACAAAAUAGCCCUUUAUUUCAAAUUUAGCAUCAUGUCCAAAUUCUUUGGCAACGCAAGAAAUUUAAAGUAAGGCCAUGUUAUAUUAUUAAGAUAAAUAGAAAAACUUGCUACUAAUUCUAUAUAUCAAGAAAAAUUCAUCAAAAACAGACGUACGUGGAAACCCAUUGACGUCCAAUCACAUUCAUCACCUCAAAAUGCAGGCAAAAAAAAAAACAUUUUGCCAGGAAUCAAAAGAUCAAUAAAUUGAAAGCAAAAGUAAAUAAAAUCAAACUACACAUGAAGCCAUUAUUGAAAUUGAUGACUAUUAAAGCUAAAAGAAGGUAUUUCCUUCAGAUUAAUGAAGGGAUUGACAAUCCUUGACUCACUAGGAGCAUUAUUAGCUUCAAUCAAGCCAAGUCGGGUUAUCACAUUCUUCUUCAAUUGUUCCAUUGAUUCUUUGUAUGCUUCAAGCUCAUCCUGCUCCAUGUUAUCAAUGGGUAGAUCCCACCAAAAGCCACCCUCAUUCAUGUCGUUCAUGUUCCCAAUCAUCUUUGCAACCGUUUGCUCCUCUUCCAAUCGCUUCAAAGAUCUUGCAUAUUCUUGUUUAUUAGCUAACUGGCUCUCUAUAUUGUUAUUGGUGACCGGCGGGAAGUUGCUAGGGACCUUUUCUGUUUCAACAAGAUAGCGAUCAAGAACCUUAUCAACGUCUGGCUGGCCACAAGAGAAUAGCUUUCGAUGUUCAGAGAAGACAAUGACUGCUGUUUCAGCCCCGCACAAGGUAGAAAGUUCUGUUGCUUUCUUGAACAGCCCGUUUUUACGUUUUGAAAACGUGACAUAACGAUUGCUUUCUUUCUGUACUUUCUUUAUCUCAAUCUUUUGACGACCUUUGCUGGUCCUGCGUGUCUCCUGCUGGUGCCGCUGGCGGUUCGAAUCCGUUGCAUCCAUGGUGGAUAUAUAGAGAUUAAGAAGCUUGAAAGGGAGAAUUAAUAGGGUUUAGGGUUUUGAGAUGUUGGGUGGUAUAUAUAUUUACAGAUUUAUGAGAUCUUUCCACUCUUAUUUUGGAAAGUGUUUAACCGCUUGAAUAGGAAAUUACACCGUUUGUUAAAAAUUGACAGGAAAGCAAACAGAAUCUCUUUCUUGCAUGUUCAGGAAUUAUUUUCAUAAUAUAUUUUUUUUCUUUUGUCUCGUCCCUUCCCGUUAUGCAUGCAUACCAUUCUUAACCCAACCUUAAUUAUCUUUCGCACUCCUGCUGCUUCUUAAAAGACUGCGCAGAAUAUAUAACAUACACAAUCAGCAGCACUCCGUAGAAGAUAACAGCUAGCUCUUCUGAUAUUAAAUUAAGUAUAUAAUAUAUCACCUCAAAAUUCUUGGAAAGGUCUUUCACCUGCUCGGCAAGUUCUUGCUUUUUCGUUGCCGCUGCAUAACAAAACAUCACUCAUCAUCAUCAGAUCAAUAGCCAGCAGUGACUGAAAUUGCAGGUCCAGAUCACAAAAUGUAACAGAAACGCACCCGGCACCCGUGUUUGAAAUAUCAUCAACCCUCCUUGAUGUCCUCACUGCAAGCACGAAAAACCAAAAUUAAAAAAAAAGGUCGAUAACGUGAAGGUUAAAACCUCUACUCUGUCAAAAAUCAAAGGUUGACAAUGAGAAGGCUGGGAUCAUAAAGCAAUAACUGACUCUUUCAAGCUAGCAGCCACUACAGGAGCCAAAAAAGAUAUGAACUGGAAGUCGAGCAGCUAUCACCUAGGCAAACCAACUAAAUCCUAUCAUCGUUAUUCAUCAAGAAGCCAUGUUCAUAAGCUGUAGAAAGAUCAAUAUGGCAAACUCAUUUUUGUUCCAUCAACUCCACCCAUGUUCAUAAGCUGUAGAAAGAUCAAUAUGGCAAACUCAUUUUUGUUCCAUCAACUCCACCAAAUCAAUGAGAUGAUAAUAAAACAGAGAGUUAUAAUAAUAGAACAACAUGGUCCCAUAGCUUCAUUCUUACAUAUGAGUCGAGUGUUUACUUCUUUGUGGAGGAUAAGGAGUAUUGAACAAAAUAAAUAAAUGAAUACUCAACUGCAAAAAUUUCUCAAACCUCAAAAUCUGCACUGCAGGCACAAUAACUUAAGAAGUUUUGAGGCUGUUUCGCUUCAGGGAGCAAACUGUUUAGG